Cucurbita pepo subsp. pepo (vegetable marrow) is the source of this 1592-nucleotide non-coding RNA. NCBI's taxonomy places the organism in Eukaryota, Viridiplantae, Streptophyta, Magnoliopsida, Cucurbitales, Cucurbitaceae. The record is from RefSeq and is a predicted model, not a curated record.
AAUUAUUUUCUCUUUAUUUGAGCCUACGCGUAGCUCAAGGAAGAAACAAUAAUCAAAAAGUGAAAACCCCACAAUCAUUUUCACUCAGAAUUCCUUUGUGACCUUCCUGUUCUUCAGCCAUAGCUAUCAUUUAGCUGAGAGAGAGAAGCACGUGCCAUUGAAGUGGAGGGUCCGCAGCUAAAGGAUGGGGGAAAAGGAAAUUGAAGCCAAGAAUGUGAUGAAGAGGUCGAAGAAAUCACAACUUUAGUAAUGCAGAAGAGCAGCAAAUGUGUUGUAAUGAUUGAAGCUUUCUUUUUCAACAACACUUUGAUUCCUAUGGUAAGGAGAGAAGCCUUUGCUUCAUAAUUCUGGUUCCUUCUAUAUCAGGUUAUUUGAAGAGGAGAGAUGUAUGAGGAAUAAUUGUGGUAUAUAUCACAUUCUUUCCUUCCUUUGCUCUCUUUUGCCACCAACCACUUUUCUUUCUUCUCUUGAAUCAUAUGGAUGUGCUUGGUUCAGCAUAGCUGUAAGGUUAACCAUGGAAUUGGAAGUUUUGGAUGCAAACUAUCCUUCAUAGCCUAAACCAAUACUUUAGAAGCUCUUAAGAAACUGAUUAGUUUAUAGCCUGAUGGUUCGCUUCAUUUUCGAUAUCGCGACAUCAGAAUAAUCAACCGCUAUCACAGAGGAGGAUCUUGGACAUCCUCUUCAUUUUCUCUUGGCUUCUUUUCUUUUCAGGGAUAUAGAUCAUUAGCUAUACAUUCUUAUGUAGAAGCCAUUUUUAUCAGCAUCAUUUUUGCUCCAAGCUUUUAGUUGAGGAAGAGAUAAGCCACCAUCUCAAAGUUAAAGGUAUGAGUGAGAUUGGUUCUGAAAGAUCAAAGUCAUGGAACAUAUACACAACUCCAGACCAGAGCCCAUCAUCUCAAAGAGGCAUUGGUCAAGAAGCUCCUUGGAAGAACUUUGGAUCCUCCAUGAAUGCCAUUUCCUUUGGCUUUGUUGCUACUGCAAUCUUGAUAUCCAUGUUCCUUAUCAUGGCCAUCUUUGAGCAUCUGUUUAGACCAACUUCUUCUUUCUCCUCCUCUGGUGAAGUGACCAACAACUUUGCACAAUCGGGUCCGGUCGAGAAAUUCUCUAGUCCAAAUACGGUGCCAACAUCAUAUGCAGCUGAUUUCUCAGUGUUGAUGCCAGGUCAGCACAUCCCCACCUUCAUUGCCCAGCCAGCCCCUCUGCCAUGCCAAAGAGAGGGGACUUAUUGGCCAUCUCACGACCAUAAUUUUUCAGGCCCUUGAAACAAAGAUGAUAUUUCUUGCCUCCAUUGGAAGCAGCUGCUGCAUUUAGGAAAACUGUCAGCUUUGCUUCUUCUCAGAAUAAUAAUUCUUGUGCUCCUUCUUCACCCACUGGGAGAUUUGCUCAAAUGCUCAUGUUCUUUUUCAGUUUCUGAUGUGUAAAUUGAUUAUAAAAGAAUGGCACAAGUUCUUACACGAUUUCAAGGUGUAAGUAGAUUUCACUUCACUUCCUCACUACAGUGAGAAGGUGCUUUAAAAUUCAACAUUUUGAAAGGAAAGUGUUUCUGUAUAAGCUCUCAUAUAUGGCUACAAACACAAGGAACAUUUAAAAUC